AUGGGACAGAAAGACUGUUUAGGGGCUAAUCUUUCUCUGCAAUCUGAAAUCCUUACUUUGCAUUCAGUUCUUUCCCUUCGCGUAGCUCAAGACAAACUCCCAGGAGGAGAACUGUGUGAUAUAGCCUCAGACGUGAGCAAAACAAGUGGAGAAAAACUGCCCUUCGGUUCGACAAGUGUUCUUCUGCAGCCCAGCGACACAGCAGUCAUUUAGGGGGACCAGGCAUGACCUUGGUGGACAAAGCUGCCUUCUGCGCAUCAGUGUAUGUCCAUUGCUUCCUUCUUAUUUCUGCCACCCCCGGUCCAAGCUUAUUUGCAGACUUUUGAUGCACACAGGACUGGAGGUGUCUACACAGAGGCCGAUAUUAGCUGCAUUUUUAAUGGCUCAGCUCUGCCCCGGACAAAAACUGUUGUCUCUGCCUUUGAUCUGUCAACUCCCAGCUGGUUGCAAUAUUAGCACCAUUAAUAACGCCUCCCCUGGAAGAGCAUAACCGUAAAGGCAAAGCCACAGCAAUUCAUACAUAAAGACGGCAGGGAUGUGGUCUGGUAGCCACGUAAGGAGCUGAAAAACGGCCUCACAGCUCCGUGCAGCUGGUAAAAGGCUUUGAAAGUGCCCUUGUGCAAAAAAAAAUCGGGUGUUGUCAGAGCUGGGAACAGUCGCUUCCAAAGCCAGAGAGGUGGAGGUUUUAUUCUUAUCUUCGGGGCCUCUAAGUUAGCUGCCAAUGUUGCCAGAUUUCUGUGUUUCCCUGGAAGAUGGUUUCAUGCCCUGUGCUCACCCAGCCCAGUUGGUUGCUAGGCUCCCUGAGCCUCUAGCAAAACCAGCAGGGUUUCAAACACACCAGAAUCCAAAACAUGCACAGAGUGCGAUCAUAAAUAAGCCGUGAGCUCUACCAGUCUGCCCCUGCCUUGCUUUUGGAACCCCGUGGCAAAAAUCAUGGCUUGUUCAGUGACUAGGAUAGAGGCGAAAAUUGGGGAGGGGGAUAAUGGAUGGGGCUGCUGUGUCUGCUGCACCCGAGUCUUGCCUGUUUUAUAGGGGACAAACCUCCUUGAAGAGCCAUGUGGCCCCACAAGCAAGUGGGGGUAUGAAACUGGGUCUCCAGGCGCCUUGAAACUGCUGCAGCUCAGUGGGACUGCAAGGAAGGGAAAGGGAGGGAGGGAGGGAGGGAGGGAGGGAAGGAAGGAAGGAAGGAAGGAAGGAAGGAAGGAAGGAAGGA
Molecule: long non-coding RNA, 1213 nt
Filed under: Salvator merianae (Argentine black and white tegu)
Lineage: Eukaryota; Metazoa; Chordata; Lepidosauria; Squamata; Teiidae
Description: lncRNA (ENSSMRG00000005360.1)
Source: RNAcentral